Molecule: long non-coding RNA, 408 nt
Filed under: Bos taurus (domestic cattle)
Lineage: Eukaryota; Metazoa; Chordata; Mammalia; Artiodactyla; Bovidae
Description: long non-coding RNA NONBTAT021754
Source: RNAcentral
CCCUCCUAAAAAGGUUCUCAUGUGCAAAUGCAUGCAUGUGGAUAGUAACAGUGGAAAUGACCGCAGUGAUUUCCUUUGGUUUUGAUCAGUGGUUUUUCAGAUGGGCUAUGUGAGCUACUUGGGAAGCCAGAUCCUCUUGUGUUCAUGGUAUCCUUGUAUGAGGAAGGAGGAUCAUGAGAGCAAGACUCUAGGACCCCUCACCAAUAUCCUGCCCUCAAUCCCGAUUAUCUUUCUUGAAAAAGUACAAUUAUAUUUGAAAAACUGACUUUAUACUCCCAAAUUAAUUCCCUUUAAAAUGGGAUUUAAUUAUACACAUAACAUUAAUUGUGUCAUCAAAUACUAGGUUGCCUGAAUUGCUGUGUACAAAUAAUCUUAUUUGGUGUGUGUAGAAGGGUGACAGUAAAACAC